Molecule: ribosomal RNA, 87 nt
Filed under: Caenorhabditis briggsae
Lineage: Eukaryota; Metazoa; Nematoda; Chromadorea; Rhabditida; Rhabditidae
Description: partial 18S ribosomal RNA
Source: RNAcentral
UAACACAGCGGAAUCUUGCAGCCGCAGGUGCCCGUGGUGCCCGUCGGGAUGAAUCUCUAGAGUCAAGUUUCCAGACUUGGAGUAAUG